GGAGUUGUAGCUCAGCGUUAGAGUGCUCAUCUAGCACAUUCGAGGCCCUGGGUUCGAUCCUCAGCACCA
RNAcentral lists this transfer RNA (69 nucleotides) under Marmota monax (woodchuck). Its description in RNAcentral is "tRNA.Ala". Lineage: Eukaryota; Metazoa; Chordata; Mammalia; Rodentia; Sciuridae. The record is from RNAcentral.